Long non-coding RNA from Canis lupus familiaris (dog), 3225 nucleotides. RefSeq lists it as uncharacterized. Lineage: Eukaryota; Metazoa; Chordata; Mammalia; Carnivora; Canidae. The transcript is spliced from 3 exons. The record is from RefSeq and is a predicted model, not a curated record.
UUGGGGAUCUUCCCAUGGAUGCCAUACAGAUGGAGUUUCCUGUUGGAGAAUAGGAGGUAAGAGCCGCAUUGGAACCACAAGUCAGGAGGCCUCUGGGGCCAGAUGCCUUCUGUGUCUUCAAUUUAAUAUAAUAAGCACUUAUUAAAGGAUGAAGUGUGUGAGCAUGUACCUGAGAAUAGAACUGAAACCCAAUAUGAAUGAACGGAAAGGAAGAAAGAAAUUAGAAUUUAAGUCAAGGGAGGGUCCCUCAACUCUGAUAAAUGAAUGAUCAUAUUGCUGACUUAUUAGAGGUUUCCUAGUUAGCAAUAAAAGAGAACAAAGAUGAAAGGAGCAGUCUUCUUGGGAAGACAAGGCAUUUCAGGUAAAAUUCAUGUUUCCCAGAAUGCACUACCUAUUCUUUUCUUGCUUCUUCUGAAAAAGCAGAUGUAGCACAUUUCCCUACUUCAGAAUAUGGUGAGCCAGAUCUGGUCAGUGGAAGGUGGUUUAUUUUUAAUAUGGCAUAUUUCACUCCACCCUUAUUUAAAAAGAAAAUGCAUUCAAUAGACUGAUGUCUAUAACCAGAAAUUCAAAUUACUAGUUUACAGAAGCUUGAAUUAUCUAAAGUCUCUGAAGACCCAAAUUACAGUCAGAUUGAAAUUUACAAUCAGAAAUGCAAGUAUUCCAGAAACUGCCUGUAUAAGUAGACCCAUACAUUGGGCCAAGUUACAAUUAAAAAGUUUUCUUGAGAGCUUGGAAUCAGAACAAAGGAAGUCAGAGGGACAACACAUUUAACAGCAUCAAACAAACACAACCUGAUCCACUAUCUUGCAAUGGGGUUAAUCUGGCACACAGGUCAGGAAUACAGAAAGUAUACUGCCUUCAGCUCCUGUCAUCUAUUUCCACAUUUAAGACAGUCUGCCACUAUAAUGGGAUACUUUUUUGGGUGAGAAUCUUCUGUUCCAUUAGUACCACUGGUUGAUUUGGGGAAUCCGUUUUCUUAUUUUUUCCUAGCUGACCAAUUCUCUUCAGAUCAACAAACUCUUUCUUUAGAUUUGUUAAUGCUUCUAGUAGAGUUACAGCCGUCAUUAGAAAAUUCUCUCUUAAGCCUAACACUAUCUCUUUUUAACUUUUUCCCACUAGUGGCCCAGAAUUUAGCUCUGUAUGGAAACAGAAAAAUGAUGCCCUGUUCCAUGACAGCUCCUAAAUAACUCAAGGCUUGCUAUCUUCAAGGUUGCCACAUACACUGGUAUCACGGCCGCCACAUUCUCCCCAGGAGUUCCAUCCAUCAAGUUCCUCAAUGCAAGGACGGCUAACAAGGUCCCUGUCACUUUGGGUGAAAUAUACAGGUAUCACCAGAGGCUCCUGAACCCACCAUGAGCAGAGAGAGGUAUAGCUAUUUCCCCAUCCCAGCAUGCUCCAUCCAGGAAACCAGCAAGAUGGCUUUGCCUUGUUUUACAUCUCCAUCUGCAGAGUAGAGGUGGGAAAGAAGAAAUCUUUUGGUUUCUUCCUUUCAUGAGAAUGGUUUCCUAUGGGUAAGAUGUCUGAAGUGAUGAGCCCAAACUUUGAUGUCUGAGAUAUUCACCAUAAAAUUGUUUGCAACAGUUACAGGCUUUUGUAGGACUUCUGCUUGUUUUCUUCACAUUCCACACUGAAGACAGCAACUACUAUGUGUACAGUAUUUUGCAAAGUGACUCUGGUUAUGUUAUCUCACAUGGUCCUCACUUUGGCCUUGUAAGAUAGGCUGGGCAAGGGUUAUUAUCAUUCUUAUUUUGUAGAGGGGGAAACUGAGGCACAUCCAUGGUCACUUGGAUUACAGUGGCACUGUAAGAUUAGAGCUAGGAUCUAGCUUUCAAUUCCAUACAUUUUAAAUGAUCAUAUCACUAUGCCUUCCAUCCUUACUAACCCUGUUUCUUUUCUGCGUAUAGGACAAUUGUAUUUUUAAUUAAGUUGUUAUGUAGCCCUUUCUGUUUGCAUGCAUCAGGAAUAUCCUCCCUCGAAUAAAAUACUCAGAAAUAAGGUGGGAUGCUAUGUUUGGACUUUCCAGUCAAUUCAGGUGAGCCACCAGUAGACUCCAUAUUGUUCUUAUCAAGAAAUUUCAGACUGUGGGGGUCAGCUGUCCACUGUCCUGAGUAGCUAGGCUACUGUGAAUAGAUCUAAACCUUUCUCUGACCACUGAGGCUUGGGCAAGGGUGACUCACAGCUAGCCUUGCAGCCUGUUUCUCCAGCCAUUGAAAAAGACUGGAGUAAAUCUGAACUGAGUUCAGCACACACCUAGAAGUUCUGUGUAUAUGCAGUAAGUCAGUAAGAACAUAUCCAGACUCAGUUUACAUUCAUUGUGUGUGCCACAUUAAGUGCUUUCACCUGGGUUAUUUCAUUUAAUUCCAGUUCUCUGCAGUGGAUAUUAUUGCCUGUAUCUUUCAGAAAAAGAACUAAAGUUCAGAGAGGCUAAGUGAAGUGACACUCAGUGAUAUGCUUCCUUUCACUCCUCUCAUAUAGGUGAUAGAAAGCUGUUUCUGUAGAUCUCAUGUCAUUAUGAUCACUCCAUUUCUUCCUUCAUGUUUGCUUAAUUCACUGGCCAUGACCCUAUGAGCUAUAGACUAGUUCCUCUCUCAUUACCAUUGAUUCUAGACAUGGCCAAUAAGGCAUGGACCAGCAAGACACUGCAAAUCUCACCCAGAGCUGGAAGCCUGCUGUCCUGCCCUGAGUAAGGAAGCGUUCUUCUUUCUUUCCCUUCUGUGAAUUAGGCUGCAGAUCCCUGGAAAUGGGAGGCUUCUAACUGAGGAUCAGUGGUUGUCUGCUCUUCUGCUAUCGUUUCCUGACAUGCUGAACCAACUGGUUUACCUGCCAACUGAUUUACCUGCCACUCUAGGCUGAAACCCCAUAUCAGAAUUCCCUGCAAUGGAAAUGAUCCAUGAAGGCAGAAGAGGAGAUAUGUUAAGUCAUAAGAACAGGUGUUUGUUCAGAAUGAUGGUUUCAAGGCACUGUGAUUUCUUCUCAGCAGGGAGAGAGCUGCAGAAAUAAAUGCAAUGCAAGUGUGUGUGUGAGUGGCUGAGCAUUCUCCAAGAGCAUGGAAGACCCAAUUCUCCCUGCAAAGCUGGAUCUGCAAAUGUGUCUCCCUACCCAUUCUUUAAUUAAAAGGGAUCUCCAUCCUUGUGGGGGUAGGGUAUAGUACUGGUGGGGCAGACAUGCUUAGAGAAGCUAGAAGGGCUCUCCUGGGUUCUCUGAAUAAGAGUCAAAUCCCCAGAG